RNAcentral lists this long non-coding RNA (1013 nucleotides) under Papio anubis (olive baboon). RNAcentral's name for it is "lncRNA (ENSPANG00000043190.1)". Lineage: Eukaryota; Metazoa; Chordata; Mammalia; Primates; Cercopithecidae. The record is from RNAcentral.
CUCAGAUGGAACUUGCCUUGUCUCAGAUGAGAUUUGGACUUGGACUUUUAAGUUAAUACUAAAAUGAGCUAAAACUUUGGGGGACUGUUGGGAAGGCACGAUUGAUUUUGAAACGUGAAAAGGACAUGAGAUUUUGGAGGGAAGAGGGGUGGAGUUAUAUGCUUUGGCUCUGUAUCCCUACCCAAAUCUUAUCUUGAAUUUUAAUCCCCACAUGUGGAAGAAGGGACCUGGUGAGAGGUGAUUGGAUCAUGGGGGCAGUUUUCCCCAUGCAGUUCUCAUGAUAGUGAGUGAGUUCUCAUAAGAUCUGAUGGUUUAAAAGUGUGGCACUUCCUUCUUUGCUCUCUCCUGCCACCAUGUAAGAUGUUCUCGCUUCCUCUUUACCUUCUGCUAUGAUUGUAAGUUUCCUGAGAUCUCCCCAACCAUGCAGAACUGAAUCAAUUAAGCCUCUUUCCUUUAUAAUUUACCCAAUCUCAGGUAAUUCUUAAAGCAGUGUGAAAACAGACUAAUACAAAGGCAUGGACUUGUCACCAUCUUUAGGCCUUCUUACUUCCAUUAUCUAAAUUACUCUCUUUUGAACAAAUGCUUUUUUUCAACAGGUGUCUUCUGAGAAGUCAUUUUGAUACAGUAUGAAUUCAAUAAGACAAGUCUUCCAUUGAGCAUGCUUGGGCAAGGCUCUCUUCCUGGCUUGCAGACUGCCACCUUCUUGCUAUUGCCUCGCAGAGGGACGAAAACAUUCAGUUCAUAGCACCGACCAAAAAUUAUUUCCAGGCAAUCCAGUACAGCUGGAAUAGAAAAGAUAGUGGAUUCCUUGGCUUCCUCCAAGUGGACUGAGGGUUGAAGUAUUUUUCCAGUCAUGUUCUUGAACACCAACUUUCAUGGCAUGCUGACAUUUCCAGACUACUGAAGUUGUGAUGAUUAAAUGAUCCUGCAUUUGGUGAGAAGAAAGUUUGCACAUUCUAAAGGAGCUAGGUUUCAAAUGACUAUAUAGGGCACAAUUUCCACUGAAGUGAUUU